Molecule: ribosomal RNA, 453 nt
Filed under: uncultured bacterium
Lineage: Bacteria
Description: partial 16S ribosomal RNA
Rfam family: Bacterial small subunit ribosomal RNA
Source: RNAcentral
UAGGGAAUCUUCGGCAAUGGACGAAAGUCUGACCGAGCAACGCCGCGUGAGUGAAGAAGGUUUUCGGAUCGUAAAACUCUGUUGGUAGAGAAGAACGUUGGUGAGAGUGGAAAGCUCAUCAAGUGACGGUAACUACCCAGAAAGGGACGGCUAACUACGUGCCAGCAGCCGCGGUAAUACGUAGGUCCCGAGCGUUGUCCGGAUUUAUUGGGCGUAAAGCGAGCGCAGGUGGUUUAUUAAGUCUGGUGUAAAAGGCAGUGGCUCAACCAUUGUAUGCAUUGGAAACUGGUAGACUUGAGUGCAGGAGAGGAGAGUGGAAUUCCAUGUGUAGCGGUGAAAUGCGUAGAUAUAUGGAGGAACACCGGUGGCGAAAGCGGCUCUCUGGCCUGUAACUGACACUGAGGCUCGAAAGCGUGGGGAGCAAACAGGAUUAGAUAGCCCUGGUAGUCCACC